Molecule: long non-coding RNA, 1083 nt
Organism: Bos taurus (domestic cattle)
Lineage: Eukaryota; Metazoa; Chordata; Mammalia; Artiodactyla; Bovidae
Source: Ensembl
GGAAAUGGCAACCCAUUUCAGUAUUCUUGCCUGGAGAAUCCCAUGGACAGAGGAGACUGGUGGGCUACACAGUUCAUAGGGUUGCAAAGAGUUGGACACAACUGAGCAACUGAACAACAGCAAAAACAUAAUAUAAUAUAUCCCUACACACACACCUAUUUUGACAGAAAGCUCCACUCCCCUCCUCCCCGUUUUGAUGAAAGGUAAACAGUUGGGAGUGGGCAAUUUCAGGUUGAUUUCUGAACUGGGAUGGGAAAGUGCUUCUGACUGAAAAAGAAAGAAUAGUUUUUUGACCAAAAUGGUCAGGAGGUGAUGAGGACUGACCUCCCCUCCCCCAGUCCUUGGCUGCCAAAUCUUAACUGCCUGAAAACUUAGAGAAAUGCUUGAUUAAAACUAGAAUAAAAAUCUCCAGUCGCCUUCAGCAAACCGCAGCACAAGGGUGGGAGAAGCUGUGCCAGGCUGCAGUCGAGUUACUUGGCGUCUGCUGAAAGCACGGCUCCCUUCCUGUUUAAUAAUUAAUUCAACUUUAAAGCCCCAAGGAUCUGGACUCAGCACCAGCUUCACAAAGCGGUGUGUGGAAGAGCGCUUCCAGAAAGACUGAACCUCAACCUGGGAAUCCAGUGCCCAACCACACGGACUGAGCCUCUGUGUGUGGGACAUCUCAGGAUCCUAAAGCAUCUGAGAGAGGGGACCCCAGUAAGGAACAGAUUAAAUGAAACAAAGGCCUGGCUGGCCAAGGAAAAGAGGAAAACAGGUUCAGAUUUGAGCUGAUGUCCGUUUUCUUCCCAAGCUCAUAGCACUUUGGGUCCAUUAGGGAGCCUACCCCACGCCAGUGACUGAAUCAUCCUGUACCUUAGUUUCCUGGCCUGUGAAAUGGGAACGAUCUUUGUUCUGAGCUCACCAGUCUGUGAUAAGAUUUGUGGCCUGAUGAGAGGAGCCUGGCGGGCUACAGUCCACAGAAUCGCAGAAGAGUCAGAGCAGAAGACAAGCGGCUUGGCGCGCACGCAUGCUCACGGGCCACACAACACGGCACCCUUCAAGUUCAAGAGAACAGCCCCUUCUGAGGUGCCCGUGACCCCUCCC